CCUACGGGUGACAGCAGUCGGGAAUAUUGCUCAAUGGAGGAAACUCUGACGCAGUCACGCCGCGUGCAGGAAGAAGGUUUUCUGAUUUUAAACUGCUUUAUACAGGGAAGAAAAAAGACAGUACCUUAAGAAUAAGCUCCUGCUAACUACGUGCCAGCAGCCGCGGUACUACGCAGGGAGCAAGCGUUAACCGGAUUUAUUGGGUGUAAAGGGUUCGUAUACGUAUAAGAAAGUUAGUUGUGAAAUCCCUCGGCUUAACUGAGGAACUGCAACUAAAACUACUGCCCUUGAGUACUGGAGAGGAAAGCGGAAUGACGAGUGUAGCGGUGAAAUGCGUAGAUAUUAGGCGGAACACCAGUGGCGAAGGCGGCUUUCUGGACAGUAACUGACGUUGAGGCACGAAAGUGUGGGGAGCAAACAGGAUUAGAUACCCCGGUAGUC
Molecule: ribosomal RNA, 441 nt
Filed under: uncultured bacterium
Lineage: Bacteria
Description: partial 16S ribosomal RNA
Rfam family: Bacterial small subunit ribosomal RNA
Source: RNAcentral